RNAcentral lists this ribosomal RNA (254 nucleotides) under uncultured bacterium. RNAcentral's name for it is "partial 16S ribosomal RNA". It matches the Rfam family "Bacterial small subunit ribosomal RNA", at positions 526 to 779 of the family's 1533-position model. The record is from RNAcentral.
CGUAGGUGGCGAGCGUUGUCCGGAUUUACUGGGCGUAAAGAGCGCGCAGGCGGUCGUCCAAGUCGCGUGUGAAAGCCCCCGGCUCAACUGGGGAGGGUCACGCGAUACUGAUCGACUCGAAGGCAGGAGAGGGUAGUGGAAUUCCCGGUGUAGUGGUGAAAUGCGUAGAUAUCGGGAGGAACACCAGUGGCGAAAGCGACUACCUGGCCUGUUCUUGACGCUGAGGCGCGAAAGCUAGGGGAGCAAACGGGAUU